UUUUCCCUUUCCCCCUCCUGUUCCAAAUUUUAGCUGUCGUAGUUUAUGUAGGCCUAGAGUCAUCAAUUCCGGUAUGCAAGGCUGCCGCUCCUACAUCGAGCGUGUUUUGGAUAGCUGGGAUUUGGCUUUUACUCUGGUUUUAAUGCUGCCUGUCAGCCUGAGAAGUAUGAUCCUCCAAAAUCAUCUUGAGCUAUUUUUCCAGUCUUCACAACAGCGUUUUUAAAACUCGGCAGAAAAAAUAUUUAUUUUGCCCAAGAAAACUCCUUGAAGACUAUUUUUCUCCUCCUUGUAACACAUAUUUUAUCUCAGCAGCAGUUAGGCGUGGAUGCCUUGACUUUCUAGGAAAGCAGUUUUUAAAGAACUUUUAUUUAGACAUCUGGAAACCGAAGGGAAUCUUCCUACUCUGUGCUGGCUUUCAGCUGCCGCCUGGUAGAACAAAUAGCGAGGGGAAAAUAAGCAAUGGAAUAAACAUGCCUGAUGUUGGGAAUUGGAGUUAAUAAUACAAAAAUCACGUGAGGUUAAAAGAUGGCUAGAAUUUCUUGUUUCAGGAGAUAUUUUGUCAUGUCCAUCCUGCCGCCUUUUCAUAAGGUAAGCGCUCUUAGAGAGGGAACAGCUGGGUGUAUCUCACAAGGUGUGGGUGGCAGGAUGGUGCAUGCUCUCUCUUCCCCAGGAUCCUGUUAGGUGCAGAUGGUCAUUCGCAGAAGUCGGUGUGACACAUAUGGCUUAUGCCUGUUUAGCUCUUGCAUGGGCUUCGGGGGUGCUGGAGCUGCUGAGGAAGGAGGGGGUAGAGCCCUCGGGAAGGGAGGACAGGAAUUGUUCUCUCCCUCCUGUAUAAACAACAGUAAAUAUUAGUAAGGAAAGCUGCUCCCUCAAUGUGGCAAUAGCAUUACCAUCCACCCGCGCUUAAAGGCUCUCUGCGGGUCUCUGCUGUGGUGUUACUGGAUGACAGCAGGUCAUACCAGUGACGAUUGUCCAUUUUAUGGCAAGAGAUGAUGGAACUUAAUUCAUUUUACUGAGCUUGUUACUUGAAUGGGAACUAAAAUACUUGUUUUCUUCAAACACUUAAAGAACUACACAAAUGCUGCAGAAUGUUGGCAGAGCAAAAACAUUUGUCUGUUUAAAUAUUAAGAGAAUGCUCUAUUGAGAGAUUUGUUCCUGCUUACGAGGUUUCUCUGUUAUUCAAAGCCAGAAUAUUGAUAACAUCCACUCCUGAAACAAGUCUUAAUUUUGAAAUUCAUGCAAUCUCUUCUACUGCUGGAUGCUUUUAUGUGCUAACCUUAACAUAAGGCUAAAUGGCUGAAAUGAAAUACUUCGCACAUUUACUAGAUUUAGAGCAUUGCACGUCUUGCAGUUCAGGUAACGCAGCUGGGCUCGGAUUAACCUAAUCUGCUUUAUUCAGCCUAAUAGACAUUCUUGUGGAUCAAUCAUCUGCAUGUGCUGGUCACUUAACACAGUAUGUGCAGGCACCAGACAAAUUGCUCACUUCACUCUGGACUACUCUGAAAAAUGUAUCGGUCAACAUGAGCAAACAUUGGUUUUUUCUAUUAAUAAUAAAGCUCAUCCAAACACGCAGGAUGAAAAAGCACGCGGGACAGAUCCCACCCUCAAGUCUGCAGCUGAGAAAGCAGAGAGUUCUGUACGGAACCUGUCUGUUCGCAGUGAACUAGGCCAAUGGGCAGCCGCCCCCCACUGAUGUGAUUUAGGGCUGGUGGCUUCUAGGUUUGGCUUCUCUGCUUUUCAGCUCUUCUAGACAUUGGAAAUUCCAGUUUGUGUUUAUUUUCUCUGGAUUCCUUCCCACAAGACAGAAGUUAAUUCAGCAUGGAUUGUUGGGGAGAGCCUUGGCUGGGAAUAAGGAUAAUUGCAGUCUCUGUCUGUGCCACAGAUUUACUGAUGGUUUCUUUUAAGUUAUUCACCUGCACUGUAUCUGUUUCCUCAGCUGUAAAAUAUGGGUAAUUACCUCCUUUGUAAAAUGUUAUGGGUUCUGCUGGUAAUUAUAUGAAUGAAGUGCUAAUUACAGUGAUUAUUACUUGGACCUAGUCUAGAUCUGGGUGAUGUUCCUGUUGCGAUGAACAUAUGAAACGCAUACUACAACUCGCCUGUCUCCAUCUUUGCGAGGGACCUGGAAGGGGAGGGUGCCGCAGCACCCCAGUGUCAAUUCCUGACGAGAAGCACGACUACUUUUUCACCCCAGUCACUCUGUUAACGUCCCGUCCUCCCUGUCCCCGUGCGUUAGCGGGGCGGUAGGCUGGUGAGAGGCUAAGGCGUUACUAACUCGGGACUCGGAUCCACGUGCGAUUUGGUAACAAGGGUUUAUGCUUUGGCAUUUGCUUUUCCUCUUGGGGAUGGAGAGAAGAAAGCCGACUGGGGACGGCGCUGUCUGGGAUAGCAGUCGGGCUGGGGCCGGUCUGCUGCUGCCUUGUGGCCUCGGCUCCUUCACAAGGUCUGACCUUGAUGCCAGGAAAGCUGUCCUUCCAGCUGUUGGGAUUACUUCCGCCCUGUAAAAGACUAUGGGUUGCCAGAUUUUAUUAUCAAACACUUCAUUUGCCUUUCUCUUCUCCAUUUAUUUAGGACAGAUUUUCUUUGUAGCUGGGAAUAGCUCUACUGUCCACUAGGCAAGGCUGGGUGGCAGAGAAAGAAUUGAUAUUCUUUAAGGUAGAAACGGAGUGUUCUCAUCCAGGAAGCACUGCUGCUACUGCCCAGGUGAUGCAGUAGCUUUUGACAGUAGUAAUAAUGAGUAACGUCUGACAUCGUUAAUGAUGAGAGGCUCCUACCCCACACCAGCCUUCCCCGGGCGCACGUUUCAUGGGGCAGUGACAACAAAAAAUCACGUUCUCUGUUGAUCUUGCCGCAGUUCCUGCCUGCGCUGUUCUGCCACGUGGGCUCGCUCUGCCUUUCUGGGUUCUGCUGGACAAAUUUCAGUCCUCCCCUCCAUGUGCCCGCUUGCCAUCAACCUCGGCCUUGCUUUGCCCUGCAAGAGCAGCCAUAGAUCUCGGUAACAUCUUCAGAAUUUGGUAGGAAGCUAGAGGGGAUAUGCUGAGCAGCUCUUCCGCUCUCACCGUCUCGUGAUUGCAGUGAAUAUUUAACCUUCAGGAGGAGGGUUUAGUAACUGCCCAGUAUGGCAACACAAAAAGGCUUUCCAGCCACGGAAAGGCAAUUUUUAAUUGCAGUGUUGCACUUGAAUUUUCCAAACUGAAUGCUGACCUCUGACAGCUGAUUUCUGAUCGAUUCUACAUGUUGAGAUCAAUCUGGAGUAUAUCACGUCCUCGCAGUACUUCAGUUGUUGGCAGUGCAAAGCCCAUCUAAUGCAGCUUAUUGGAUAUUAUUGUUUGGGGAUGACUAAGGGAGGCAAAUGGUUCCACGUACAGGUUUUUUUCAAGGCUUCUAGGUUUACAACUUUUAAAAUCGUAACUGAAAAUCCACCAGAUACUUGUAUUUCUUUGCUGGACGCGCAUACAUCUAUGUUGACGUAGACAUCGCCGUGGAUACAAGCUGCAGUCCCGUCUGGAAACGUACGCUUUGCGCCCGGACCUGAACAGGACAGAUCAGUUGCGUGCUCCGGUGACGGGCAGCAACGUGCGAUUCCAGACGAGUGACAGCAGUUGGUACCAGGUGAUGAGUGUAUGGAAAGACCCGGCCUCGUUAGGUGGAGGAAGAAGUACACAAGGGAAUAUCAUCCUUCCCUCAUCACUCUUGCCUCCCUUUAAAGCAUCCAAGAUCAGAUAGUUGUCUGUGUGUGUGUCUGUGCACGUCACCUAAUAUUCAUAUGUUGGUUUGUUGUGGUUUUUUUUCUUAAAUCCUAUUGAUUUGGAAAGCAAAAAACUUGGUUCGUUCCUACAGAAUCAUCAUCUAUUAAGAUGAUUUAAUUUGGUGUGAGCUGCAUCAAAAGUGGAUAAUGCCAUAUAAAUGUUCUCACUGCACGUUGCAUGAGCGAAUUGAUCUGUGCGUGCUCUGCGAGUCUUGUAUGGUGAGGCACCUUAAAUUACUGCAUAACCUAAAGGAUAAUCAAUAAUUCAGAUUCGAGAUUUAUUCAACUCUAAUUUUACAGCAUUCUUGCAAAAAGUGGGAAGGUGUAUGACAUCUGUGGGAUUUCUGUAUCUCAGUACCGCUCUGAAUGCUGUAAAUCAACAGUGUAAGUAACAGAUGAUCUUUCUUUUUAAACUUUGAUGUUUAGUAGCAGAACAGUUAUAAACCCUCUCAAGUCUUCCUCCUCUUAGAAAUUAGCAAACUGUCUGGUUUUCAUCGUGGUGGCAAAGCGUGGCAUAAAACCACUGUAGCUUAUGAUAAAAAUGCUUUCAAGGAUCUGAAUUAAAAUGUAGCAUCACCACAAAACCAGAGUAUUUAAAGCAUAAGGGAUUCCAAAAUAAUGUGCUGCUAAAUGGAAGUUUCUCUAGUUUUGAGAGCAGUUUUUAACGAUUAACAUACCCCAUUUGGGUGGCGUUCGGCGUCGCCUCACAGCCCCAGCCCCGCUCCGCACCCGGUGCCGUGGUGCGUGCGGGCAGGACAGCCCGGCGCGCUCGGAGCAGCCGGCAACGGCGGCUUGCGCUGCCUGUCCCUGCCGGCAUCGCCGGAGGAGGAGGGGGAGGAUUUCCUUCAUGCGCCCCAUCCCUAGCUGCCCCCGUCUCUGUAUGGACGCAGAAUCCCCACAGGAGGGUGCUGUGAAGGCAUUUAAUGUGCAGAAUUUGCAGGGAAGAUCAGAGUUUUGAGGAAACAGCAAUUAUAGGGAAGCCAAAGCCAUGUUCUGGCAAGGACAGCGCAUGAAUUGUCCCCUGGGAGGGACGCGGGGAGAGGUCCGAUGUUGGUGCUUGCUUGCAGCGCCCUUGCUGCCCGUGAAGGUGUCGGGCCUGCGAGUGACGAUGGCAAGAGAGGCGAUGCUCUCGGGCGCCGCGGGGUCGAGCGAGCGGUGACCGGCAAAGCAUCCCGGGCUGUCACUGCGCCUCCCGCCUCCGGCGGGUCCUGGGACCCUUCACGAUGAGUGUUGUCCGUGGCUGGCGGGUCGUGUGGCCUCGCCAACGAGCCUUGGAGCCGCUCAUCCACUUUCCCGUUUGUACGUGGAAUAUUUAAUCCGCAUAAGCUGCGAGAUGUGUUUGGUUGCAAGGAGAACCUCGGAGUUCUGUCCUAAAAUACUUUGUAAAUGAGACUGUUUUGUUCAGCACGAUCAGAAAGGCUAAUGAAAAAUAACAGACACCUCUCUCUAGUUCUUGGCUGUAAAACUUUCUUUCAAAUAUUUUACAUAAAGGAGAUUAUGCCUUUUGUAUAGUACGUACUCAUGCCAAAAUACUUUUAUCUGAUGAGGCCAGUUAAAUAGCCUAUCCCACAUGCUGCUUGCUUCAGCUGGGGUGUUGCUUCAAACCAAAAUUAAGUAGGAGCAUUGAAAAGGUGACAAAAACCCCACUCCCCGGGGGGCUGCGGGCUGUCCUCCAUUGCCUCGCGCUUCCGCUCGGCCCCCCGCCCUGCUCCCUCCUAUUGCUUUUCACUUUUUUUUAAAAAUAAACUUUUAAACCGAGGAUUAAAACUGCAGCAGAGACUUAUCUUUGGGACGACCUCUAAAACGCGUGGAGGGGAUUAAAUCUAAUUUUGCUACACAGAGUAUGGGUGCUCUGAUUUUUUCUUUUAAUAGCAAUGAGAUAAACUGAUAGAGCUGUAUUACUUGGGUUUUUAAAAAUCAAGUAGUCAUUAGAUAAUGAUCCAUCAGUCUUAAACUUGGCGGCUGGGAUCCGUGUGCGUUCUGUGUGAGCCCCUAAGGGGGCUGGCUACUGGCCGUGUGAGCAUCGCUGCAUGGGCUCGCUCCGUACGGGAUUUUAGAUGUCGGAUAUUUGGAUGGAGACUGUUCGGCAGAGAGGGUGCUUUGUCUUAGCCGGCGUUUUUGGCACUCAUCUCAAAUUGCAUCACCUGAACCUUUUGCCAAAGCUUACCUACUAAACACCACGGAAGGAUGGUGCCCAGCAGCGGCGUUGGAGCUUUGCCUUGUUACCGGCAGGAUAAAGCCGAGCCGCUCUCCUAUCUGCACGCGUGUUAAAUUGGCCACAGGUCAUUGCAGAUAGGCUCAGAUUUUGGCUUUCUGCUUCGCGGAGGAAUUUUGGCCUAGCAGUAGCCAGCCGGAGUUUUGGUAGUUUGUGGUUACCAAGCGGCGUCUAUUUGGAUCUUAGAAAAUCAGAGCAUAAAUUCUUAAUGCUGAUCAGCUGUGUCAUUGGCGUCGCCUCCGUGACCUCUAACUGCUGUUACUUCAAACAGUUGCCAUUAAACGCAGUCAAUAACACCCUUAUGUAUUCCAUAGGAGCUUUUCCUCCUGCCAUCUCAAAUGAAAAAUAAACAAAAGAGCUUAAGCACGCAACGUGCUAAAUAGAGUAAUAAGCUGUGAAAGUACUUUACGGGGAAAUCUGGGGCAAGAGCUGUCUGCUGAAGCAAGCCUAUUAGGGCUGGCAGCAGAAAGGCUUUGGGAGGCGUUCUUUGGGAGAGAUAAUUGAAAGAUUUUUUCAAAUGUGUGUGUAUUCCCCCCCCCUUUCUGACUAGUUUUAAGAAAUCCCUCCCUCCUUAAAUUGAUUACCUCUCAGCAUCAGAACGCCUUGGCUUUAAGUACCUGCUAAGCUGCUCCUGUGCUGAUUUGACUUUGCCUUUCUGUUAGAUGUAAAACAGUUUUUAAUCUUCUCAUUUUGACGUUUUAAUAGAAAGUAAAUGUUUAACUUGCUUUGCCGUGGCAUCCAAAUCUUUAAUCCACGGAAGCAUAACGAAAUGGAAACGUGCUUUUGUUCAAACCGGUGUUAUCAGCCGUCCAAGAGAUGCUUUGCUAGUGGCACUUUCUGGGUGGGAGUUGCACACCCGUGUCUGUCACCUUCGGCAGCGGCGCAGUACGGGUAGCUGUGCGGCCGCGCGGCUCGAGGUGGGAGGAGUGGCCGGGGCCACGGUUUUCAAGAGGCAAGAAGAGGCUGGUUUGCCUCGCCGAGAGACGGGGAGGCGGGUGGUAAUUCCUGUUGGGAAAUGCCCGGUGCUCACCCGCCCGGAGCUAGAGCUGGUGCCAAGGUGCUCGUGUUGGGAAAAGCAACUAAUCACCCACGAGCUGAUUGAUGGACGAUGGGUUUUCAGGAGCGUGAUGGGGAGAGUGGCGAGAACCCCGUCUCGGGAUGGUUUCAGACUGUGGGGAAUGGGGGAAGGUCCAUAAACGUGCUGUAAGUUGAGUGUUUAUGGUUACUGGUUGCAAGUUCAAUCACAGCCUUUGCUGGAGGUUUACAUUUGGAGGUUAUAUACCCCUUCUGAUGGUGGUGUGAUUGGCGCUGCUCUAGUGAAUGAGAGCUGAAGCGGCACGCUCGCCAGGAAAACGCUGAAAAGUGGGCUAGCAUCGCAUUUGGUUCCUGGUACAGGAAAGGGGGUUUCCACUCUUAGCCUCUUGGUUUAUUUAUUUAUGCUUAAAUUUAAUUUUAUUUUCUAGAAAAGGCAUUUACUGCUCCAGGACACAAAUACUGCUGCCGAAUUAACAGGCCAAAUUCAAAAUUCAUCAAGGGGAGGGAAGCACAGAGCAAAUACAGAUAGAAACCGUCUCAGGUGCAAAAGCAGCCGUUCGUGCCCGCUUUGGCGGCGAGGGCAGGCGCGACAGCUGUUGAUCCCUUCAGACGCAUUAUCUGCCUCAAAUAAAAAUUGGGAUUUUUUUUCAGGCCAAAAGCGUGGUAAGCCCCAGAAGACUGAGAGCGCUGCCGAAGCUUUUACCUGCGCGUUCCCGACCAGCCCGUGCUGGCAGGAGGAGACGCCGUUCAGGGCAGCCCAGUUCUGAGAGGCACCUGCAAAUACCCCAUAAACAUGAUUUCUACCAUUUUAAAGAUAAAUCCAUUAGUGCAGGUUUGUCCAGAUAAAUAAAGCGCUCUAAUUUUCAGGCUCACAUUGAUGGUGUCAGGCUGUCACCACAGAAGUGCUGGUGGUACAAAUAGCCAGGUGCAUCUGGCAAACCCCGGUCAUCACCGGGCACCCCGAGUUACCCCGCGCUCGGUAGCGAGAGCCGGGAGGCCGGUUCUCCACCGCUGUUUUGGCUUCUCCCCCCAUGCUCCGGGCUGUCGCCAGCCUGAGCUCGCUUGGAGGGUCCCCGUCCCCGCAGAGCCCGGUGCCCGGGCUGAUCCUUCCCGGGGCCGGGGCGAGCUCGGGUGCGGGAGCAUCCCGCGGCGCCCAGAGCUGUCCCCGGUUUGUGCGUCAGCUGGGCUGCGCGUGGAAGCCAAAGGGAAGGAAGCUUUCAGUAAACUAAUAAAUCUACUUCAAAACAAAAUAGUUUACUCCUCAUGAGAGUGGAUACUGGGAUUAAGCACUCUGUUUGGAAAAACGUGAACUUGAUAUUUCAACUUUUCUAAUGAGUUCCUGUGCAAGAGUUGCCAGGUUUGACUUUAUUUCAUAGGUAUUUGUUACCACACUUUUCUUCCUGGGGAGAAAAUGGAGCUUAUUUCUGCCUCUUGCAGGGCUUGUGUGGAGUCGUUGCCUUCGCAGCGUCCGCGUUUCAGUGCUAACACCUUCUUUCCCAUGGAUGGACUUGGGGCAGAAGCUGCUCUCCCAGGGGUGCUGGGGCUGCCUGCCGCCCAGCCCCGGGACCUUGCGUGGCCAUCAAAGCCAUGCUAAGGAGCUGCCUUUAUUUUAAUAUCUGUGGGAAGUCCUAGCCAAGUCUGGGAAAGGUCAGGGGGAAGCAAGAAAUCAGGCCUUUCGUCCCAGCGGAGUUCACCUAACGAUUUGUCUGCAGUGUUUUUGCCAAUUAUGGAAGAAAGAAAAUCCCUAUUUCUUCAGAGACGGGAUGCCUCGGGCAGAUCACCGAGGCUUCGACUUGCUGCAGCUGAAGUUCUGGAAAAACCCGAAAUAGCCAAUAGCCCGUUGGGGUGAGUUUGGCGUGCAAGGAGCUGGAGCAUCUGGGCUGGUUUCAUUUCCCAUAUCAGUCCGCGCAGACACAAAUAGCUGCUGUUGUCAUCCUUGCUAACUUAGUUUUCUUUCUUAGAGGGAACCGGGGGAAAAGUUUGGAAAUGUCUUUUUUGCCAGUGGCUUUUUGUUACCACUGAGGUGAGGGGCAGAAAUGCCUCUCUGACCUCAAAUGAAGCGCCAGGUCGCUCUAGGCUGCAGAAUGAAAAUGGUUGCGUGGGGACGUGUCCUGCCCCGCUGACACUGAGGACGCGGCGAGGCCGGCUUGCGGCAGGGUGCGGCGCCAGCCCCUCGCCCGUGAGCUUUCACGGACCGGCCGCAGGGUCACUCGGCUGAAGGCGGCUGAAACAAGAUCAUCCGUUAAAACGGGGGAGCCCGGCAGAGGCUCAGGGAGAUUUUUCUCCGUGUUUCUCUUGUUGCUUUGGUUUGUGACAGACCCAAAAAGUUUCAUUUUUCAAAAUCGGUAGGAAACGGCAGCGUUUCGAGGAAAUCCCUUCUGCCGGGUGAAGGUGGCCACCGCAUCCAGCUCCACUUGCUCCUCCCCGGCCGUGGCAGGGCUGCCCAUGCCGUAUCUCAUCUCCAGCAGGAAUUUUGGACCGAGGUCUGCAGCAUCAGUACACGAACAGGCUGGCAUUGCUUCGCGGGCGGGUACCCACGGAAAAUGAUGCUACGCAGGGCGUCCCAGCAGCACCUCCAGCAAAGAACUUGCUGUUCUCCAGGAGAUGAAUUGUGAGCGGUUUGCACCCAUCCGAGGGAAGCAGAGCUGCUCCUUCACUGUGCGCUGGAUUUACAAGUUGGAUUUACAGUAUAUUAACUUAAAUGUUUAAUUUUCUGAGUUGCAGUCAUUCUAAUUAAAUUAAUCUGCAAGUUCUA
Molecule: non-coding RNA, 9750 nt
Organism: Phalacrocorax carbo (great cormorant)
Lineage: Eukaryota; Metazoa; Chordata; Aves; Suliformes; Phalacrocoracidae
Source: RefSeq, a predicted model, not a curated record